UACGUAGGGUGCAAGCGUUGUCCGGAAUUAUUGGGCGUAAAGAGCUCGUAGGCGGUUUGUUGCGUCGGCUGUGAAAUCCCGAGGCUCAACCUCGGGUCUGCAGUCGAUACGAGCAAACUAGAGUGUUGCAGGGGAGACUGGAAUUCCUGGUGUAGCGGUGAAAUGCGCAGAUAUCAGGAGGAACACCGGUGGCGAAGGCGGGUCUCUGGGCAACAACUGACGCUGAGGAAGCGA
Molecule: ribosomal RNA, 234 nt
Filed under: uncultured bacterium
Lineage: Bacteria
Description: partial 16S ribosomal RNA
Rfam family: Bacterial small subunit ribosomal RNA
Source: RNAcentral